Molecule: ribosomal RNA, 465 nt
Filed under: uncultured Klebsiella sp.
Lineage: Bacteria; Pseudomonadati; Pseudomonadota; Gammaproteobacteria; Enterobacterales; Enterobacteriaceae
Description: bacterial SSU rRNA
Rfam family: Bacterial small subunit ribosomal RNA
Source: RNAcentral
CCUACGGGUGGCAGCAGUGGGGAAUCUUAGACAAUGGGCGCAAGCCUGAUGCAGCCAUGCCGCGUGUGUGAAGAAGGCCUUCGGGUUGUAAAGCACUUUCAGCGGGGAGGAAGGCGGUGAGGUUAAUAACCUCAUCGAUUGACGUUACCCGCAGAAGAAGCACCGGCUAACUCCGUGCCAGCAGCCGCGGUAAUACGGAGGGUGCAAGCGUUAAUCGGAAUUACUGGGCGUAAAGCGCACGCAGGCGGUCUGUCAAGUCGGAUGUGAAAUCCCCGGGCUCAACCUGGGAACUGCAUUCGAAACUGGCAGGCUAGAGUCUGGUAGAGGGGGGUAGAAUUCCAGGUGUAGCGGUGAAAUGCGUAGAGAUCUGGAGGAAUACCGGUGGCGAAGGCGGCCCCCUGGACAAAGACUGACGCUCAGGUGCAAAAGCGUGGGGAGCAAACAGGAUUAGAUACCCGGGUAGUC